GAUGAACGCUGGCGGCGUGCCUAAUACAUGCAAGUCGAGCGAACAGAUAAGGAGCUUGCUCCUUUGACGUUAGCGGCGGACGGGUGAGUAACACGUGGGUAACCUACCUAUAAGACUGGGAUAACUUCGGGAAACCGGAGCUAAUACCGGAUAACAUUUGGAACCGCAUGGUUCUAAAGUGAAAGAUGGUUUUGCUAUCACUUAUAGAUGGACCCGCGCCGUAUUAGCUAGUUGGUAAGGUAACGGCUUACCAAGGCAACGAUACGUAGCCGACCUGAGAGGGUGAUCGGCCACACUGGAACUGAGACACGGUUCAGACUCCUACGGGAGGCAGCAGUAGGGAAUCUUCCGCAAUGGGCGAAAGCCUGACGGAGCAACGCCGCGUGAGUGAUGAAGGGUUUCGGCUCGUAAAACUCUGUUAUUAGGGAAGAACAAACGUGUAAGUAACUGUGCACGUCUUGACGGUACCUAAUCAGAAAGCCACGGCUAACUACGUG
Molecule: ribosomal RNA, 497 nt
Filed under: uncultured bacterium
Lineage: Bacteria
Description: partial 16S ribosomal RNA
Rfam family: Bacterial small subunit ribosomal RNA
Source: RNAcentral